GUCUAUGGUCAUACCACCCUGAAUGCGCCCAAUUUAGUCUGAUCUCAGAACUAAGCAGGGUCGGGCCUGAUAAGUACUUAGAUGGGAGACACAACUUUAUGAUGUACAUUCCAUACAUG
Molecule: ribosomal RNA, 119 nt
Filed under: Chinchilla lanigera (long-tailed chinchilla)
Lineage: Eukaryota; Metazoa; Chordata; Mammalia; Rodentia; Chinchillidae
Source: RNAcentral